CAGCUGCAACAGAAAACAACCAAUUCAACAAGGCACCUUACUGAGGGUUAAUUACUACAACCAGAUAUUCCCAAACUUAAUAAUGCUCCUGCUUGUUCCCUUUAGGGGUGAAACGAUUACUCGAGUAAAUCGAGUAACUCGAUUCAAAAAAUUGAUCGAUUAAUUUUCUGUGCCUCGAGUAAUCGUUUAUUUAAUUAAUAAACUCAGCGCGCGGUAUUUCCGCGACUUUUAUUUUGACAACGCGCUCAGCGUUACGUCACUCUCGCCCGGGAAGAAGGAGACGGAGGUUUGAGCAGCGGCAAAAUGGAAGCGGCGAGAGAAAACAGCGGUUUUAAAGGAAUAAAAGCAUUUUAGGUUGGAACGGUGACAUGUAUUCAGUGCAGCGCGUCCUUGCCUCCCAAAACAGCGCGUUUUAAUGCUGCACCAUCUGAGCUGAGGACAGCCGAGAGAGCAGGUCCUGAUAUAUUUUGGAGAAGUGGCUUGGUGGUAAAAGAAUGCAGCACACUGAUCCAACACUGGCAGAACUGACAACGUCUCUGCUGUUCAGAAGCUAAGAUGCACAACACAAAGACGAUGUUUAUGCCUUUUUUAUUGAUUAAUACCCUAUAUUUGAUACUUACAAGAAAUCCAAAAUUGAAAGUAAUGUAAUUAAAUGUAUUUUUGUAAUUGUGGUAUUUAUUUCUUUAUUGUGGUUUUUUUAUUUGUAUUUGCAAUUUGGAAAUGUAUGUUGUGAUUUUAAAAAUAUAACUUAUCUAAACAAGGAAA
Long non-coding RNA from Astyanax mexicanus (Mexican tetra), 765 nucleotides. RefSeq lists it as uncharacterized. The transcript has 2 exons. The record is from RefSeq and is a predicted model, not a curated record. Lineage: Eukaryota; Metazoa; Chordata; Actinopteri; Characiformes; Acestrorhamphidae.